Long non-coding RNA from Andrographis paniculata, 2798 nucleotides. RefSeq lists it as uncharacterized. NCBI's taxonomy places the organism in Eukaryota, Viridiplantae, Streptophyta, Magnoliopsida, Lamiales, Acanthaceae. The record is from RefSeq and is a predicted model, not a curated record. The transcript has 4 exons.
CGCUCGCCUUCUUCUUCCUCUUACUUUUUCUUGUUUGUUUCCAUUUCUUCUUGUUUCUCCUUAUUCCUCACCUUCUUUGUUUUCUUCUUCCGCCUCUUCUUCCUCAUUUCCUUUCUUUCUUCGUUUACUUCUUCUUCUUUGUUUCAUUUUUCUUCUUCUCUAGAGCAGCCGUUGUCCGCUUGUUCCGUUCGUGGUUGCUGAUUGAUGUCGGAGAUGAAAACUGAAGACACCAUUGUCACCGAUAGGAGCUUUCCGGAGAAAGAAAGAAGGAUAAGUUGUUCUUACCGUGUUCUUGAUUUUGUUUCCUUUUGUGUUCUGCUUCCUUGGAGUAGCAACAAAUGCUUUGUUGAUAUCUAGUUACAUCUCUUGUUUUGAAAAUUAUUUAAUUAUAUGUUGUGUUGCUACUAUGGGUUAUUCUGAUUUUGUGCAAAAAAUAUGUCAUAUGUGAAAAUUAGAAAUUGAAAAAAUUCUGUUAGUUGAGCUGAAUUCCAAGAUCCAAUCACACUUAUAUGGUUGUGUGAUGUGAGAUAUUUGUGGAGAAAACUCUGAGAUGAGGAUUGUGUAUGACAAUCUAAACAUUAACAUUUGAGUCACUUAUAGGAGAAUAACAUUAAACACUGCAGAAAUGUAGUUGGUCCUGUAAGUAACAUAUACUUGCAUUAUAAUUUUUUGCGAUUGAUUCGUGUAUGUAAAUGUAUGGAAUAAAAGAUUCAUUGGAGUUAUGCCGAUCUCACCAUGCCUCACCUUGAAGUCUUCACUACUUCUAAAUGGAAGUAUUUAUCCUUGCUAAUAUUAUAAUAUGAUACCAUGUUUUUUCAAAUAAUAUAUCUUAUAUUAAUAAAUCACUGCGGGACUAGAUUAUUGCAGGCGAAUCUUUUAUAGCCACUUAAAGACAUUGAAACCAUAAAUGGCAAUAAAAUUGUACUACACCCCGGAGAAUUGCUCUUAUGAAUGAUUUGAUGUUUUAAAUAGUUAAGUUUCUAUUGUUAGUUGUCAAAUGCAUUUGUAAUUAUGUUAGGAUUUUCUGUACUUGAGUAUGCUUUAGUUUCUACCGUCACUAGCUAAAUAUAGUUGAAUUAGAUAAUAUGCUCUGGCACAGUUGUUCGUCUUAUCAGUUUAGUUUUAAAUUUUUUGUUGAUAUACAAUAAUGGUUGCAUUGAUCCUUGGUGAAAGUUAAUUGGAGGAUAAGUUGAUGAGCAAUGAACAACUUUUUUUUGGCUUAUCUCAGGCUCUUCGGAAGUUCCCAAAAGAAACUGAAAGAGACGAAUCUUGAUAAAAAUGCCUUAGAUGCUUUACCAUUAUUUUCAAAGCUCCUCCUCAGUGUCAACCACAAUCGUUCAAAGGCAAAAAAAUAUGCAAGUAUGAGGAUUAGUAGAUCAACCCCAACCCUCAGUCCCCUCUAAAAUUCUGCACCACGAAAAAUUCUGCAAUCAGGGAAGUUUUUCUUGGCUUUGGAUGUUGAUAAUAUAUAAGUUUUCUUCUUGAUUGUUUGCUUGUAUAUGUCUUGAUUGUUGUAGGUUAGAUUAGAUUGGUUUACGUUGUUUAAUUUAUGUCUAGUUCCUUAACCUUGUUGUUGCAGUAAGAUAAUUUGUGUUGUUCUGUUUCUUGGAUUUCCUUGGCUAAGAUGGGCUGCUCCUUUAAUUAACUUAGAUUGGUAUGGUUCUAAAUCUAAGUUAGUUUUGUGUUUAUUUAGUUGUUUAGGUGUAGAACUUGUUAAUUAAGCUUGGAUUCAAUUUUAGUCGAUGUUUAAUAUAAUUGUUAUUUACUAGUAGGUUUGCACUUUAUUGUGAAGUUCUAAUAAAUCAGAGAUUCUCAUCAGUAUUGAAUAGAAUGUGGGAGUCAUGUCCACACUUAUGGAAGCGUGUUUCGUGAUUUUAUCAUUUUCAAAUCAUUAUUCCUUUGGUCGGAUAAUUUAUCCUUGGGAACAACAUGAAGAUUAUUUCUAUUGCUGAUGAUGAAUUUCUUAAUAGCUUUUAGCUCUGAAUGAUGUUGAUAAUCUAAAGGAUCUGUUUAAUGGUAUUAUAUAACAAUCGAGGUUUUCCAUUUGUUUGACUAUGUGUGAAGCAAAAUGAAGAUAUCAAAUUGCACUGAUGCUUUUUGAGAUACAACAUUGUUGUAGCAAGUGAAGCAUUUUUUUAUCAUUCAUUUUGAUUAAUGUGUUGCAGAGUAGCAUAUUCAGGGGUCAGCCUAUUUCAUUAGUGCUUUUCGAGUUUAUUUGUUACUAUACUUGUAUUUAAGAUAGGGUCCCUUGAUCAAGCUAAAGUGUAAGUUUUAUUUUAUUAUAUUUAUCCAUAAUGUCUACAGAGGCAGACCUUCCUCGUAACUAGCGCUCGUUUAAACUAUUUAUAUAGGUGAUACCCUAGUCAUUGUUAAGGUGUAUGUUACAGCUGUAAUAGUCCCGGAGAUCGCACUUAUCCUUCCAACUAAUGCUGGAGCAAAAAUUCUCGAUGAUGUAUUCGACGGAGAUAAUAUCGAGUAGAUUUACCAGGAUUUGGUUCGUCGCCCGUGAUUGCAUACUCCAUGAUUCUGCACUCGACGAGCUGGGUCAUUCAUAGUUGUAUUUAUGAGUUGCCCUUAAGAUCGUACUUACAUAUGAUAUCAGAUUUAUCUAUUUACGUAUUACUUUUUGGUUUUGCGUAUUGUUAUUUAGUGGGUUGUUAUGUUGGUGUACGGAUUGGUGUUUUCUUGGGAUGUUUUGUUAGCACCGUUGACGACUAAUAUUUUAUUUUUGUUUGGACUAUGAACAUCGUUGUAUUGAUGACCAUGUGUAGUAUUACUAUGGAUUUGGAAAAAAUUAU